CUAACGAUUGAUCUAGUUAUCUAUAAAGAUGAUGAUUAUAAGAAGUAAAAAGUAAAAUAUAAUAAUGUUUAAUAUAAAGUCUAAAUUACCUAUGUAAUAAUAAUAAUGAUAUGAUAGGUAAUAAGAGUCUUAACCAAAAUUAGUGCCAGCAGUUGCGGCUAAACUAUGGAGACAAACGUUCGUCAUUUAAGGCUUAAAGGAUCCGCAGUACUAUAUUAGAGCAUAAUAUUUGUAUUUAUACCGUAGGUAAUUCAGAAUAAUUAAAGUGAGUGAUAAUAUACUAUGAUAUUAAUUAAACAAAUAAUGAUGAAAAUAGAAUUAAUAGGUAAAAUAGACGUUCAGGGAUGAAAGUAUGAGUAGCAAAGUGGAUUAGAUACCCAAUUAUAGUUCAUACAGUAAACAAUGAAUACUACUAGUUAUAAGUGAAAACAAAGUAUUCCGCCAGGUGAG
This 450-nucleotide ribosomal RNA is filed under the name Ambrosiozyma llanquihuensis. Its description in RNAcentral is "partial small subunit ribosomal RNA". The stretch from base 191 to 443 matches the Rfam family "Bacterial small subunit ribosomal RNA", at positions 557 to 873 of the family's 1533-position model. Lineage: Eukaryota; Fungi; Ascomycota; Pichiomycetes; Pichiales; Pichiaceae. The record is from RNAcentral.